RNAcentral lists this ribosomal RNA (779 nucleotides) under Mycobacterium sp. M73T4. RNAcentral describes it as "bacterial SSU rRNA". It matches the Rfam family "Bacterial small subunit ribosomal RNA", at positions 56 to 852 of the family's 1533-position model. Lineage: Bacteria; Bacillati; Actinomycetota; Actinomycetes; Mycobacteriales; Mycobacteriaceae. The record is from RNAcentral.
UGCAGUCGACGGUAAGGCCUUUCGGGGUACACGAGUGGCGAACGGGUGAGUAACACGUGGGUGAUCUGCCCUGCACUUCGGGAUAAGCCUGGGAAACUGGGUCUAAUACCGGAUAUGACUGCGAAUCGCAUGGUUUGUGGUGGAAAGCUUUUGCGGUGUGGGAUGGGCCCGCGGCCUAUCAGCUUGUUGGUGGGGUGAUGGCCUACCAAGGCGACGACGGGUAGCCGGCCUGAGAGGGUGACCGGCCACACUGGGACUGAGAUACGGCCCAGACUCCUACGGGAGGCAGCAGUGGGGAAUAUUGCACAAUGGGCGCAAGCCUGAUGCAGCGACGCCGCGUGAGGGAUGACGGCCUUCGGGUUGUAAACCUCUUUCAGUAGGGACGAAGCGCAAGUGACGGUACCUAUAGAAGAAGGACCGGCCAACUACGUGCCAGCAGCCGCGGUAAUACGUAGGGUCCGAGCGUUGUCCGGAAUUACUGGGCGUAAAGAGCUCGUAGGUGGUUUGUCGCGUUGUUCGUGAAAACUCACAGCUCAACUGUGGGCGUGCGGGCGAUACGGGCAGACUAGAGUACUGCAGGGGAGACUGGAAUUCCUGGUGUAGCGGUGGAAUGCGCAGAUAUCAGGAGGAACACCGGUGGCGAAGGCGGGUCUCUGGGCAGUAACUGACGCUGAGGAGCGAAAGCGUGGGGAGCGAACAGGAUUAGAUACCCUGGUAGUCCACGCCGUAAACGGUGGGUACUAGGUGUGGGUUUCCUUCCUUGGGAUCCGUGCCGUAGC